RNAcentral lists this ribosomal RNA (404 nucleotides) under Actinomycetes bacterium. RNAcentral's name for it is "Actinobacteria bacterium partial 16S ribosomal RNA". It matches the Rfam family "Bacterial small subunit ribosomal RNA", at positions 355 to 776 of the family's 1533-position model. Lineage: Bacteria; Bacillati; Actinomycetota; Actinomycetes. The record is from RNAcentral.
UGGGGAAUAUUGGACAAUGGGCGCAAGCCUGCUCCAGCCAUGCCGCGUGAGUGAUGAAGGCCCUAGGGUUGUAAAGCUCUUUCACCGGUGAAGAUAAUGACGGUAACCGGAGAAGAAGCCCCGGCUAACUUCGUGCCAGCAGCCGCGGUAAUACGAAGGGGGCUAGCGUUGUUCGGAUUUACUGGGCGUAAAGCGCACGUAGGCGGACUUUUAAGUCAGGGGUGAAAUCCCGGGGCUCAACCCCGGAACUGCCUUUGAUACUGGAAGUCUUGAGUAUGGUAGAGGUGGGUGGAAUUCCGAGUGUAGAGGUGAAAUUCGUAGAUAUUCGGAGGAACACCAGUGGCGAAGGCGGCGCACUGGACCAUUACUGACGCUGAGGUGCGAAAGCGUGGGGAGCAAACAGG